GUAGGGGGCAAGCGUUAUCCGGAUUUACUGGGUGUAAAGGGAGCGUAGACGGCAUGGCAAGCCAGAUGUGAAAGCCCGGGGCUCAACCCCGGGACUGCAUUGGAAACUAUGUAACUAGAGUGUCGGAGAGGUAAGCGGAAUUCCUAGUGUAGCGGUGAAAUGCGUAGAUAUUAGGAGGAACACCAGUGGCGAAGGCGGCUUACUGGACGAUCACUGACGUUGAGGCUCGAAAGCGUGGGGAGCAAACAGGAUUAGAUACCCUGGUAGUCCACGCCGUAAACGAUGACUACUAGGUGUCGGGGAGCAAAGCCAUUCGGUGCCGCAGCAAACGCAAUAAGUAUUCCACCUGGGGAGU
RNAcentral lists this ribosomal RNA (355 nucleotides) under uncultured bacterium. RNAcentral describes it as "bacterial SSU rRNA". It matches the Rfam family "Bacterial small subunit ribosomal RNA", at positions 527 to 881 of the family's 1533-position model. The record is from RNAcentral.